GAUGAGCAUGCGUCCCAUUAGCUAGUUGGUAAGGUAACGGCUUACCAAGGCUACGAUGGGUAGGGGUCCUGAGAGGGAGAUCCCCCACACUGGUACUGAGACACGGACCAGACUCCUACGGGAGGCAGCAGUGAGGAAUAUUGGACAAUGGGCGCAAGCCUGAUCCAGCCAUGCCGCGUGCAGGAUGACGGUCCUAUGGAUUGUAAACUGCUUUUAUACGAGAAGAAACAUUCCUACGUGACGGAACUUGACGGUAUCGUAAGAAUAAGGAUCGGCUAACUCCGUGCCAGCAGCCGCGGUAAUACGGAGGAUCCAAGCGUUAUCCGGAAUCAUUGGGUUUAAAGGGUCCGUAGGCGGUUUAAUAAGUCAGUGGUGAAAGCCCAUCGCUCAACGGUGGAACGGCCAUUGAUACUNNNNGNNNUGANNNNNNAGGAAGUAACUAGAAUAUGUAGUGUAGCGGUGAAAUGCUUAGAGAUUACAUGGAAUACCAAUUGCGAAGGCAGGUUACUACUAAUUGAUUGACGCUGAUGGA
This 532-nucleotide ribosomal RNA is filed under the name uncultured bacterium. Its description in RNAcentral is "partial 16S small subunit ribosomal RNA". It matches the Rfam family "Bacterial small subunit ribosomal RNA", at positions 224 to 753 of the family's 1533-position model. The record is from RNAcentral.